Molecule: ribosomal RNA, 552 nt
Filed under: Bacillus cereus group sp. N6
Lineage: Bacteria; Bacillati; Bacillota; Bacilli; Caryophanales; Bacillaceae
Description: partial 23S ribosomal RNA
Rfam family: Bacterial large subunit ribosomal RNA
Source: RNAcentral
AGGCCGACAGGCGUAGGCGAUGGACAACAGGUUGAUAUUCCUGUACCACCUCUUUAUCGUUUGAGCAAUGGAGGGACGCAGAAGGAUAGAAGAAGCGUGCGAUUGGUUGUGCACGUCCAAGCAGUUAGGCUGAUAAGUAGGCAAAUCCGCUUAUCGUGAAGGCUGAGCUGUGAUGGGGAAGCUCCUUAUGGAGCGAAGUCUUUGAUUCCCCGCUGCCAAGAAAAGCUUCUAGCGAGAUAAAAGGUGCCUGUACCGCAAACCGACACAGGUAGGCGAGGAGAGAAUCCUAAGGUGUGCGAGAGAACUCUGGUUAAGGAACUCGGCAAAAUGACCCCGUAACUUCGGGAGAAGGGGUGCUUUCUUAACGGAAAGCCGCAGUGAAUAGGCCCAAGCGACUGUUUAGCAAAAACACAGGUCUCUGCGAAGCCGUAAGGCGAAGUAUAGGGGCUGACACCUGCCCGGUGCUGGAAGGUUAAGGAGAGGGGUUAGCGUAAGCGAAGCUCUGAACUGAAGCCCCAGUAAACGGCGGCCGUAACUAUAACGGUCCUAAGG